Molecule: long non-coding RNA, 246 nt
Filed under: Brachypodium distachyon (stiff brome)
Lineage: Eukaryota; Viridiplantae; Streptophyta; Magnoliopsida; Poales; Poaceae
Description: long non-coding RNA (BDIS_LNC000859)
Source: RNAcentral
CCCGUUGAUGCGUAUAUAUGCAGCUCUUUUUUUUUUGAGCGCAAGCUCUUUUUUUUUUAUGCAGCUUUCUCUAGGCUCAUGGGCUUUUUCAACCCUUCUCGGUGUUCUUGAUCAUAAGGCCCAUGACACACGUAUCAGCCCCGGACUCCGAUCCUGUUUAGUUUACGCUUGCUGUUUCUCAAAAAAAAAAAAAAGAGUUUACGCUUGCUUGCUCUACAUAUAAAUACACACGCACCCUGCACGGCC